This 454-nucleotide long non-coding RNA is filed under the name Gallus gallus (chicken). The record is from RNAcentral. Lineage: Eukaryota; Metazoa; Chordata; Aves; Galliformes; Phasianidae.
UUGUCCCUCUCUGCUCUGCCCUCCUGAGGCCCCAUCUGCAGUACUGCAUCCAGGGGUGGGGCCCCAAUACAGGAAAGGCAGGGAGCUGUUGGAGAGGGUCCAGAGGAGGACACAGAGAUGCUCAGAGGGCUGCAGCACCUCCCCUACAAAGACAGGCUGAGGGAGCUGGGCUUGUUCAGCCUGGAGAAGAGAAGGCUGCGGGGAGACCUCAUUGCAGCCUUCCAGGACCUCCAGGGAGCCUCCAAACAGGAGGGGAGGCAACUCUUGGAAAGGGCAGAUAACAGCAGGACGAGGGGAAAUGGUGUGAAGUUGAAGGAGGGCAGAUUGAGGUUGGAUGUGAGGGGGAAGUUCUUUGCUAUGAGAGUGGGGAGGUGCUGGAACAGCUGCCCAGAGAGGCUGUGGAUGCCCCGUCCAUCCGUGGAGGUGUUGAAGGCCAGGUUGGAUGGGGCCCUGG